UACGAAGGGUGCAAGCGUUACUCGGAAUUACUGGGCGUAAAGCGUGCGUAGGUGGUGAGUUAAGUCUGUCGUGAAAGCCCCGGGCUCAACCUGGGAAUGGCGAUGGAUACUGGCUCGCUAGAGUGCGGUAGAGGAGAGUGGAAUUCCCGGUGUAGCAGGUGAAAUGCGCAGAGUAUCGAGGAGACACGGUGGCGAAGGCGG
This 201-nucleotide ribosomal RNA is filed under the name uncultured bacterium. RNAcentral's name for it is "partial 16S ribosomal RNA". It matches the Rfam family "Bacterial small subunit ribosomal RNA", at positions 524 to 724 of the family's 1533-position model. The record is from RNAcentral.